RNAcentral lists this ribosomal RNA (228 nucleotides) under uncultured bacterium. Its description in RNAcentral is "partial 16S ribosomal RNA". It matches the Rfam family "Bacterial small subunit ribosomal RNA", at positions 524 to 750 of the family's 1533-position model. The record is from RNAcentral.
UACGGAGGGUGCGAGCGUUGUCCGGAAUCACUGGGCGUAAAGGGCGCGUAGGCGGCGCGGAUAGUCGGCGGUGAAAGCCCGGAGCUCAACUCCGGGUCGGCCGUCGAUACUUCCGGGCUUGAGCACUGUAGAGGCAGAUGGAAUUCCGGGUGUAGCGGUGGAAUGCGUAGAGAUCCGGAAGAACACCGGUGGCGAAGGCGGUCUGCUGGGCAGUUGGCUGACGCUGAU